GAUGAACGCUGGCGGCGUGCCUAAUACAUGCAAGUCGAGCGAACAGACGAGGAGCUUGCUCCUCUGACGUUAGCGGCGGACGGGUGAGUAACACGUGGAUAACCUACCUAUAAGACUGGGAUAACUUCGGGAAACCGGAGCUAAUACCGGAUAAUAUAUUGAACCGCAUGGUUCAAUAGUGAAAGACGGUUUUGCUGUCACUUAUAGAUGGAUCCGCGCCGCAUUAGCUAGUUGGUAAGGUAACGGCUUACCAAGGCAACGAUGCGUAGCCGACCUGAGAGGGUGAUCGGCCACACUGGAACUGAGACACGGUCCAGACUCCUACGGGAGGCAGCAGUAGGGAAUCUUCCGCAAUGGGCGAAAGCCUGACGGAGCAACGCCGCGUGAGUGAUGAAGGACUUCGGAUCGUAAAACUCUGUUAUUAGGGAAGAACAUAUGUGUAAGUAACUGUGCACAUCUUGACGGUACCUAAUCAGAAAGCCACGGCUAACUACGUG
Molecule: ribosomal RNA, 497 nt
Filed under: uncultured bacterium
Lineage: Bacteria
Description: partial 16S ribosomal RNA
Rfam family: Bacterial small subunit ribosomal RNA
Source: RNAcentral